GACGAACGCUGGCGGCGUGCUUAACACAUGCAAGUCGAACGGAAAGGCCUGCUUUCCCUUGUGGAUUGCGGGUACUCGAGUGGCGAACGGGUGAGUAACACGUGAGUGAUCUGCCCCCAACUUGGGUAUAAGCCUGGGAAGCUGGGUCUAAUUCCCGAUAGGACUGCAGGGUGGUGCCUGUGGUGGAAAACGAUUUUCUAGUGGUUGGGGAUGAGCUCGCGGCCUAUCAGCUUGUUGGUGGGGUAAUGGCCUACCAAGGCGGCGACGGGUAGCCGGCCUGAGAGGGUGGACGGCCACAUUGGGACUGAGAUACGGCCCAGACUCCUACGGGAGGCAGCAGUGGGGAAUAUUGCACAAUGGGCGGAGGCCUGAUGCAGCGACGCCGCGUGGGGGAUGACGGCCUUCGGGUGGUAAACUCCUUUCGACCGCGAGGAAGCCACCUGGUUGGAAGGGUGGUGACGGUAGUGGUAGAAGAAGCACCGGCUAACUACGUG
This 494-nucleotide ribosomal RNA is filed under the name uncultured bacterium. Its description in RNAcentral is "partial 16S ribosomal RNA". It matches the Rfam family "Bacterial small subunit ribosomal RNA", at positions 28 to 507 of the family's 1533-position model. The record is from RNAcentral.